Molecule: ribosomal RNA, 433 nt
Filed under: uncultured bacterium
Lineage: Bacteria
Description: partial 16S ribosomal RNA
Rfam family: Bacterial small subunit ribosomal RNA
Source: RNAcentral
AACGAACGCUGGCGGCAUGCCUAACACAUGCAAGUCGAACGAGAGCUUCGGGUCUAGUGGCGCACGGUUGCGUAACGCGUGGGAACCUGCCCUUAGGUUCGGAAUAACUCCCCGACAGGGGUGCUAUUACCGGAUAAUGUCUUCGGACCAAAGAUUUAUCGCCUUUGGAUGGGCCCGCGUUGGAUUAGCUAGUUGGUAGGGUAAAAGCCUACCAAGGCGACGAUCCAUAGCUGGUCUGAGAGGAUGAUCAGCCACACUGGGACUGAGACACGGCCCAGACUCUUACGGGAGGCAGCAGUGGGGAAUGUUGGACAAUGGGCGAAAGCCUGAUCCAGCAAUGCCGCGUGAGUGAUGAAGGCCGUAGAGUUGAAAAGCUCUUUUACCCGGGAUGAUAAUGACAGUACCGGGAGAAUAAGCCCCGGCUAACUCCGUG